AAAGAAAGUAAGCAAGGGCGCAUGGCGGAUGCCUUGGCUCUCGGAGGCGAUGAAGGACGUGAUAAGCUGCGAUAAGCUUCGGGCAGGUGCAAAUAACCUUUGAUCCGAAGAUUUCCGAAUGGGACAACCCGUCAUUCUGAAGGAAUGACAUCUUGCAUAGCAAGAGGCUAACGCAGGGAACUGAAACAUCUUAGUACCUGUAGGAAAAGAAAAUAAUAAUGAUUCCCCUAGUAGUGGCGAGCGAACGGGGAUUAGCCCAAACCAAUGUUGUUACGGCAAUAUUGGGGUUGUAGGACCACGAUGUCGCAAGAAGUUUAGUGAGAAGAACCCUUUGGAAAAUGGGACCAUAGACGGUGAUAGUCCGGUAUUCGAAGCUAAAUGAAGCGUAGUGGUAUCCUGAGUAGCGCGGGACACGAGGAAUCUUGCGUGAAUCUGCCGGGACCAUCCGGUAAGGCUAAAUACUCCCGAGAGACCGAUAGCGAACCAGUACUGUGAAGGAAAGGUGAAAAGCACUUCGAAUAGAAGAGUGAAAUAGUCCCUGAAACCGUGCGCCUACAAGCGGUCGGAGCUGCUUCAGCAGUGACGGCGUGCCUUUUGCAUACUGAACCUACGAGUUACUUUUUCCGGCAAGGUUAAGGAUCUUGAGAUCCGCAGCCGAAGCGAAAGCGAGUCUUAAUAGGGCGAUUAGUCGGAAGGAGUAGACGCGAAACCAAGUGAUCUACCCUUGGUCAGGUUGAAGGUUAGGUAACACUAACUGGAGGACCGAACCGAUAAGCGUUGAAAAGCUUCCGGAUGAACUGAGGGUGGGGGUGAAAGGCUAAUCAAACUUGGAGAUAGCUCGUACUCCCCGAAAUGCAUUUAGGUGCAGCCUUGGGAAUUACUACUGUGAGGUAGAGCGACUGAUAAGAUGCGAGGGCUUCACCGCCUAUCAAGUCUUGAUAAACUCCGAAUGCGCAGUAGUUCGAUCCCAGGAGUGAGGGCAUGGGUGCUAAGGUCCAUGUCCUAAAGGAGAAGAAUCCAGACCAUCAGCUAAGGUCCCGAAAUAAUUGCUAAGUUGAACUAACGAAGUCAGAUUGCUAAGACAGCUAGGAUGUUGGCUUGGAAGCAGCCAUUCAUUUAAAGAGUGCGUAACAGCUCACUAGUCGAGGAGUUUGGCGUGGAUAAUAAUCGGGCAUUAAGCAAUUUACCGAAGCUAUGGGAUGUUAACUAAACACUAACAUCGGUAGGGGAGCAUUCCACUCUGCGUCGAAGGUGAAGCGUGAGCUUUGCUGGAGCGUGUGGAAAAGCAAAUGUAGGUAUAAGUAACGAUAAAGGGGGUGAGAAACCCCCUCGCCGAAAGACUAAGGUUUCCUGAUCAACGCUAAUCGGAUCAGGGUUAGUCGGGUCCUAAGGCUCAGCCGAACGGUGAGGCCGAUGGCAGAACAGGUUAAUAUUCCUGUACUACCUUAAGGAGUGACGUGGAGACGGAGGAGUGACAACGCCGCGGACUGACGGAAUAGUCCGUUGAAGGGUGUAGAUGUUGAUUAUCCCAGGCAAAUCCGGGAUAAGAGUCGAACCUGAUAGUAUACCAAAUUCUUCGGAAUAAGGUAAUAGUGCGUGUAAGCAUACUCCCAAGAAAAUCCGCUAAACUUAAUCUUUAAGGUACCCGUACCGCAAACGGACACACGUAGUCGGGUUGAAUAUACUAAGGCGCUUGAGUGAUUCACGGUUAAGGAACUAGGCAAAUUGACCCUGUAACUUCGGGAUAAAGGGUCCCAACGAGAGUUGGGCGCAGAGAAUAGGUCCAGGCAACUGUUUAACAAAAACACAGGGCUGUGCUAAAUUGAAAGAUUACGUAUACAGCCUGACACCUGCCCGGUGCUGGAAGGUUAAGAGGAGAUGUCAUCGCAAGAGAAGCAUUGAAUUGAAGCCCCAGUAAACGGCGGCCGUAACUAUAACGGUCCUAAGGUAGCGAAAUUCCUUGUCGGGUAAGUUCCGACCUGCACGAAUGGUGUAAUGAUCUGGACACUGUCUCAACCGUGAGCUCAGUGAAAUUGUAGUAUCGGUGAAGAUGCCGAUUACCCGCGAUGGGACGAAAAGACCCCGUGAACCUUUACUAUAGCUUAACAUUGAAUUUGGGUAAUUGAUGUGUAGGAUAGGCCGGAGACUUUGAAGCAGGUACGCCAGUAUUUGUGGAGUCGCUGUUGAAAUACGGCCCUUUGAUUAUUUGAGUUCUAACUCGUAGAUACGAGGACACUGUUUGGUGGGUAGUUUGACUGGGGUGGUCGCCUCCAAAAGUGUAACGGAGGCUUCUAAAGGUGCCCUCAGGACGAUUGGUAACCGUCCGUAGAGUGUAAUGGCAUAAGGGCGCUUGACUGGGAGACAGACAAGUCGAUCAGGUAGGAAACUAGAGCAUAGUGAUCCGGUGUUUCCGUAUGGAAGGGACAUCGCUCAAAGGAUAAAAGGUACUCCGGGGAUAACAGGCUGAUCCCUCCCAAGAGCUCAUAUCGACGGAGGGGUUUGGCACCUCGAUGUCGGCUCGUCACAUCCUGGGGCUGGAGAAGGUCCCAAGGGUUGGGCUGUUCGCCCAUUAAAGUGGCACGCGAGCUGGGUUCAGAACGUCGUGAGACAGUUCGGUCUCUAUCUAUCGUGGGCGUAUGAAAUUUGCGUGGCUCUGACACUAGUACGAGAGGACCGUGUUGGACUGACCGCUGGUUUACCAGUUGUGCCGCCAGGUGCAUUGCUGGGUAUCUAAGUCGGGAUUGGAUAAGUGCUGAAAGCAUCUAAGUACGAAGCCAGCCACAAGAUUAGAUUUCUUAGGGUCGUCAAAGACGAUGACGUUGAUAGGAUGCAGGUGUAAAGGUGGUAACAUCAAAGCCGAGCAUUACUAAUUGCCCGUUCACUUUCUUU
Molecule: ribosomal RNA, 2889 nt
Filed under: Bacteroides ovatus
Lineage: Bacteria; Pseudomonadati; Bacteroidota; Bacteroidia; Bacteroidales; Bacteroidaceae
Description: 23S ribosomal RNA
Rfam family: Bacterial large subunit ribosomal RNA
Source: RNAcentral